CCCUAUGGGGUGCAGCAGUCGCGAAACCUCCGCAAUGCGCGAAAGCGUGACGGGGUUACCCCGAGUGCCGUCCGCUGAGGAUGGCUUUUCUUCAGUGUAAUGAGCUGGAGGAAGAAGGGGAGGGCAAGACUGGUGUCAGCCGCCGCGGUAAUACCAGCUCCUCGAGUGGUAGGGAUAAUUAUUGGGCUUAAAGCGUCCGUAGCCGGCCUGAUAAGUCCCCCGUUAAAUCCAGCGACCUAAUCGUUGGCUUGCGGGGGAUACUGUCAAGCUAGGGGGCGGAAGAGGCCGAUGGUAUUUUUGGGGUAGGGGUGAAAUCCUAUAAUCCCAAGAGGACCACCAGUGGCGAAGGCGAUCGGCUAGAACGUGCUCGACGGUGAUGGACGAAAGCUGGGGGAGCGAACCGGAUUAGAUACCCGGGUAGUCCCAGCUGUAAACGUUGCGGGUUAGGUGUUGGAACGGUUACGAACCGUUUCAGUGCCGCAGAGAAAUCGUUAAACCCGCCGCCUGGGAAGUACGGCCGCAAGGCUGAAACUUAAAGGAAUUGGCGGGGGAGCACUACAAGGCGUGAAGCUUGCGGUUCAAUUGGAGUCAACGCCGGGAACCUUACCGGGGGCGACAGCAGGAUGAAAGGCCAGAUUGAAGGUCUUGCUAGACAAGCUGAGGAGGUAGUGCAUGGGCC
This 679-nucleotide ribosomal RNA is filed under the name uncultured crenarchaeote. RNAcentral's name for it is "bacterial SSU rRNA". It matches the Rfam family "Archaeal small subunit ribosomal RNA", at positions 321 to 1000 of the family's 1478-position model. Lineage: Archaea; Thermoproteati; Thermoproteota. The record is from RNAcentral.